Pygocentrus nattereri (red-bellied piranha) is the source of this 1482-nucleotide long non-coding RNA. RefSeq lists it as uncharacterized. Lineage: Eukaryota; Metazoa; Chordata; Actinopteri; Characiformes; Serrasalmidae. The record is from RefSeq and is a predicted model, not a curated record. The transcript has 5 exons.
GAAGCUCAAACUGGCCGGACAAGCUCAAGGACAAGAGAGGUGGUCUCUAUUACACACACACAUGGGAUGUAGGAUCAUUACGUAUUUUGUUUACACAGAGAGGUAUUUUAUACAGGGUCUUGAAGGUAUGCCUGUCAUGGACUGGUGACCUGUCCAGGGUGUGUCCUGCCUUUCGCCCAAUGACAGCUGGGAUAUGCUCCAGCACCCCCCGCGACCCAGAAGGAGAAGUGGCUUAGAAGAUGUGUGUGUGUCUUGAAGACUUCAGGCGGGCUCCAGGUGGCACCGUGCCCUUUUUUAGCAUACCGUGACUGGGAGACCAGAAGGGAGAAGGAGAGGGUAGGAGAGAAAGGGAGGAGCGAUGCCUCGUAAAAAUAAAAAAAAAAGAGAAAAAUGAAGGUUCACAAGAGGACACGAUCCUUACUUCACCCCACUGUAUGACUUCACGAAACAAACAGUUGCUGAGGAAAACAGACGAGUAGACAGAGCUUCCAUCCACAGCCUGCGGUCUUCUUCUGAUAGGGCCUGCAUGGUUAUCAUCACACCAGGCCUGCAACACAAACAGAGACAGAGCUGUGCCAUAUUGAUGUGCACAGUAAUUCAACACAUUGAGAGGAAUCUAAACAGAACUGCAUGGAGACCUAAAUAUCAGAGGGUUGACUCCGUUCCAGGCCGGUGAAGAUGUCAAAAUGAUGUAACGUCUCAUAAUGUCAUCCCUCUUUCAAAUAUCAAACACACACACACACACACACACACACAUAUACCACCAUAACCACACACACAUACUCAAAUACAUAUUGCCACCCACAUUACAGCUGUAAUAAGACAUGAUCUGAACCCAAAACACUAGAAUUAUUGGCACCCACCAUAAAAAUGCGCUAAAAUGAGCAUAUUAAACAAACCACAUAUGAAAUGAGUGAUAUUUUGGGCUUAAACAAAUGAGUAAGUGACACAUUUUAUCUUUACACUGUCUUUUGGAACAAAAAAACACAUUCUUUUGUAAAAACGCAUGUUUCAAAAAUAUUGCCAUGCCUAAUAUUAGUAUUUGGUGAAGGCUUCCCUGGUGCACAUAACAGUACUGGGCUGCUUUGUGUAAUGCUUAACAAGCUUGGAAAGCACUUGUUGAGGGAUCUCGGACCACUCCUCUAUGCACAACAGUUCCAGUUCCUUGAUAUUACUGGGUCUUUGCUCUUUGGCAAGUUUGUUGAAGGGUUCUAAAACAUACUUAUAUUAAUUCGGUGCGAAUUAACCCAAGUGCAAGAAAUUUCUGACCUGAACCGUGGAAUAAAACCUGACAGGACGGCAUCGGUUACCAUGUAGUGAAAAUAAUAGCAGUCAGCGGACAACAAACGAUAAAAUAUAAAACAAUACAAAAUAAUAUGUUGAGAUGUGUUGACCUCUCACCUUUAAUGCUCUAUAGCUUUAUUGUAAGUGGGCAAUUGGACAAUAUUUAAUCGUUAUUGUGAUAAACGCUAGCAGGAUAAA